This 72-nucleotide transfer RNA is filed under the name Cavia porcellus (domestic guinea pig). It matches the Rfam family "tRNA". Rfam says of the family: Transfer RNA (tRNA) molecules are approximately 80 nucleotides in length. Lineage: Eukaryota; Metazoa; Chordata; Mammalia; Rodentia; Caviidae. The record is from Rfam by way of RNAcentral.
UAGGAUAUAGCUCAGCAGUGCAGCAUUUGCCUGGCAAGCAUAGGGUCCUGAGUUCAAUUCCUGGUACCCAAA